Molecule: signal recognition particle RNA, 309 nt
Filed under: Cebus imitator (Panamanian white-faced capuchin)
Lineage: Eukaryota; Metazoa; Chordata; Mammalia; Primates; Cebidae
Description: Metazoan signal recognition particle RNA (ENSCCAG00000007485.1)
Rfam family: Metazoan signal recognition particle RNA
About the family: The signal recognition particle (SRP) is a universally conserved ribonucleoprotein.
Source: RNAcentral
GCCGGGGGCAUUGGCACGUGCCUGUAGUCCCAGCUACUCGGGAGGCUGAGGCUGGAGGAUCGCUUGAGCCCAGGAGUUCUGGGCUGUAGUGCGCUAUGCCGACCGCGCGUUCGCACUAAGUUCAGCAUCAAUAUGGUGACCUCCCGGGAGCAGGAGACCACCAGGUUGCCUAAGGAGGGGUGAAACAGCCCAGGUCAGAAACGGAGCAGGUUAAAACUCCUGUGCUCAUCAGUGCUGAUCAGCAGUGGGAUUGCACCUAUGAAAAGCCACUGCAUUCCAGCCUGGGCAACAUAGCGACACCCCGUCUCA